AGGGCACCGCCGCGAGUGGAGCCUGCGGCUAAUUUUGACUCAGCCCGGGGAAACUUACCCGGCCUGGACACUGGAAGGAUUGACAGAUUGAGAGCUCUUUCUUGAUUCAUCGGGUGGUGGUGCCUGACAGUUCAAUGUUGGUGGAGGAAUUUGGCGAGUUGAGUCGCAUGGCUGACGACACUCCGUGUUAUGAAAUGUGCUCCCGGCUUUUAAACCCCGGGAGGACUUUAUAGAGGGACAGGUGGCGGUUGCCCGAACUCAAGAGAGCCUGCCAGGUCUGUGAGCCCUUUGUGGGGAUGACCGCAGUCAUCCUGGCCCUUACAAAUCAGCGUGCUUUAUGUUCCUGCUGCCACCGGAGUGGGGAACCCACUGCACCUUCUUCAGCGGACGUAUAAAAGAGUGUAAUUAUUCUUAUUGAAGUCUGCAUUUCCACUCAAUGCAAGUCGAAUCCCUACGUAGAUUACAUCCCUGCGCCACGGUGACACCGCCCGUCGCUACUGCACACACCACCCGUCACAC
Molecule: ribosomal RNA, 519 nt
Filed under: uncultured eukaryote
Lineage: Eukaryota
Description: bacterial SSU rRNA
Rfam family: Eukaryotic small subunit ribosomal RNA
Source: RNAcentral